CCUUAGUUUAACUUUUUUACUUUAUCAACUUAAACACUUUUUGACUCUUGUAAUAACACUUAGCUUAAAACACAAAUACAUUGUACAGCUGCACAAAAAUAUUUUCUUUAUAUCCUUAUUCUGUGAGCUUUUUUCUAAUUAAAGUCUUUUGGGGGCUGAGUGGAGUGGCUUACGCCUGUUAAUCCCAGCAUUUUGGGAGGCCGAGUUGCGCAGAUCACUUGAGGUCAAGAGUUUGAGACCAUGACCUUGAAACCCCAACUCUACUAAAAAUAUAAAAAUUAGCCGGACAUAGUGAUGGGUGCCUGUAAUCCCAGCUACUAGGGAGGCUGAGGCAGGAGACUCUCUUGAACCCGGGAGUGGAGGUUGCAGUGGGCUGAGAUCACACCACUGGACACCACUCUGGGCAGCAGUGCUGAGACUCUCUCAAAGAAAACAAAAACAAAAACUUUUUUUUUACUCCUUAAACUUUUUUGUUUAAAACAAUAAAAGUAUAGCAAAUACAUAAACCAGUAACAUAGUCAUUUCCUUCAUUAAAAAGUACUAUAGGCCGUGCAGUGGCUCCGCCUGUAAUCCCAGCACACUGGGAGGCCGAGGCAGGCGGAUCACCUGAGGAUAGGAGUUCGAGACCAGCCUGGCCAACAUGGUGAAACCUUCUCUACUAAAAAUACAAAACUUGCCUGUAGCCCCAGCUACUCGGGAGGCUGAGGGCAGAGAAUCACUUGAAGCUGGGAGAUGGAGGUUACAGUGAGCGGAGAUCGUGCCAUUGCACUCCAGCCUGAGAGACAAGAGUGAGACUCUGUCUCAAAAAAAAAAAAAAAAGUACUAUUUACUGCACAUAAUUCUGUGUGAUAGACUUCUUUAUAUCACUGGCAGUGCAGUGAGUUUGUUUUCACCAACAUCACCACAAACAUGUGUGACACUGUGCAUUGCCUUAGGAUGGCUGUAGUAUCACUAGGCAGUAAGAAUUUUUCAGCUCCAUUAUAAUCUGAGGGGACCACCCUUGUAUAUGCAGUACAUUGUUGAACAUAAGCAGUUAUUCAGCCCUGACUGUUUCUUUUGAAAAGGGAACUCUGACAGCAGAGAAAGGCCUGGAUUUCUAUCAGAUGGGCUUCAACCCUUGAAGUUUCUCCAGGGCUUUGGGUAAAGGAAAGACAGAGUCCAUACACACACAGGAAUGGAUGCAGAGCCAGGGAAAGGAAGCCCAGAGCAGUUAUAGGAUAGUCUGAGAGCCCUUAAAGAUAUUCACUCACUUUGCAUUUUCCCAGGGGCCUGCCCUGCCUGAGUCUAGGUAGCUGGACUCCAAGUUCUGAGCAAUGGGCACAGUAAGAGAGAGAUCCAUGGGGGCCGUGGGCCUUCCUCUUUGUCCUGGAGCUCACAGACCCUCAGCCAAGCACUUGUGCCUGCAGAUGUCAGUGUGAGGAAGGGGCAUGAGCUGGUGAACAUCUAUUGCCCCGUCGUGGUCUCCAAUGCAGGGCUGUUCAACACCUAUGAGCACCUACUGCCGGGGAAUGCCCGCUGUCUGCCAGGUAAAGGCGGGUCUGCACUGCCCUCUUGCAGGUUCUAGCGUGUCCCCUUCUGGAGCCAACUUGCUCCAUCUGGGUCAUGCUUCCCCUCUUCUUGGCCGGCCCUCUGAUUGUACUUAAGCAACAAGGUGAGAACGCUGCUUCUAACAUCAUCCUAACCCUAGCAUUGAAUGUUGGGGAAACUGAGGCCCAUAGAUUAAUACAGUCCUGAGCCCACUCAGCUGAAAGGGGCAGGGCUGAGUGGAGUAGCUGGUCUGAUUUGAAAGCACCAGCUCCUCUCACCCUUCUGGGUUGAGGGGCUUCAGAGAAGAGGCCUCAGGAGGAGAAGCAGGAGAGCAGGCAGCCCACAGGGAGCAGAGCCGCUGAGCCACCGCGGCUGAGAGGUCCCGCCACUUCAUGUAACUGGAUGCAUCUGGUGUGAUCUGAGGAACGGAGGCCGCUGGGAAGGGCGAACUAGGAACCCAGCAGGGGUGAGAGAGAGGGGCCCAGAUGAAGGGCUCAGGCUGGGGCGGGAGCUGGAGAGCACAGAGCAGCUCCGGAUGUGUUGUGGCAGAAACCUUGGCUGGUGCAGGAGCCAGAGAGCGGGGGAAGGCCCUGACCCCAGAGGGUGGGCCCGGGAGCUGCUCCCUGAGGAACCGGGGAAGGGGACAGCAGAGCAGGCUGGGGGGUAAAGCGAGGUCCUGGCCUUCCUCAUGGGGACUGGGUGGUAUGUGAGUUAUGAUUGUCUCCAGGGCAUAGGGUGGCUCCACCAAUGCCAGCCUCUCUUUCCCUUGCCCCACGUGGCUGGGCCUACAGCCUGCAUGGCCUCCCCUCUCUCAGACCUGGGGAGCUGAGGGGGUGAGGCAGAGACAGCCCAGGGGCAAAGCAGGGGGGUUGGGCAUGGUGCACAGACAGGCUCUGCCUUUGUUACUUCCUGCCUUUCUCUCUGUGACACUGAUCUCCCUUCUCCCCUGUCCCAGGACCUCUGGGAACUGACACUGUCCUGGCCAGGCCCAGCAUCUUACCCAGGCAGCCCAGCUAGAGCCAUCUGUCCCUCUUGCCCUCCAUCCCUGUUCCUGUGUCUCUUCCUCCUGAAUACAACCUGAGGGCCUCACAAAUAUUUAGUUACACGAAUGAAGCAGGCCGGGCGCAGUGACUCAUGCCUUCAAUCCCAGCACUUUGGGAGGCC
This 2691-nucleotide long non-coding RNA is filed under the name Macaca fascicularis (crab-eating macaque). Its description in RNAcentral is "lncRNA (ENSMFAG00000049744.1)". Lineage: Eukaryota; Metazoa; Chordata; Mammalia; Primates; Cercopithecidae. The record is from RNAcentral.